CAUACGAAACAGGUAGAGAAAGCAAAAGAUGGCUGACCUUGCCCAUGUCAUCUAAUUUCGCGCCAGAUGCAGAAAGUUCCGUUAUUAGAUCAGCAAAUAUAUUAAAAUGGUUUAUCAAAUCCAUAUCGCCUUUUAAUUUUAGUGAAAGUAAUUGUUUACGGACGGACAACUGUGUAGCCAAACUUUUGCGUUCAUAUAUUGAAUCUAAAUUAUGAAAAAUUUUUUUAGCACUGCAAUCAUUUGUGACAAAACUUAGGAAGGAAUCACUUAAAUAUUCAAUAAUUGUAUUUUUGGCCAAUUUCUCUAACUUUUUCCACUCAUCACCUUUUUCACCACCAGUUUCAUCAAUUACUUUAAUCGAAUCAUUUUCGCUUAAAAGCGCCCUAACUCGAAAUUUCCAAAUCGCAUAUUUUUCACCGUCGAACGGCUUUAUAUUUCUUUUUGAUUUUUCCAUGAUAAAAAAUGUAAAUCACAAGGUGUACUUAUCUUCGAUGGGAAUCUGGGCCCAUAACCUGUAGAAAAUCUGUAGAAAACAGAUCAAUCCGCAGAGCCUUUAGGUAGUAGAACACAGAUAUUAAUCCUUAAUAUCUUCUUGGUUUGUCUUGAUUUCUCGUCUUGUAUAUUUCCAGUAGGAACAAAUAAAGAAAACACUUUGUUGCGGAUAUUUUAAUCUAUAGCAGACACACGUGUUUAUUGUUCAAGGAACCAAGUAGAAAGAGAACGAAAAGUAGAAAGGAAAAAGUAAGGCCGUAUAAUCCAGAAAUGACAAAUAAAUAUCGAUAUUCGAGAUAUAUAUAUAUAUACUGUUUUUGCCUUUAAUGAUGUGAUAUUUCCACAAUAAGCCUAUCUGCUUCCUCACGGAGUUUUGAAAUUUGCGCGAAUGGUAUUUGCGUGCUUUUAUAAAAUUUUGACGUGGCAGUGGCGUAUAUUUGCUUAAAAAUUUUGCGGUGGAAGUUGCAUUUGACAAACUCUCAGAGAUGACAACUAUGAACACUGAAAGUCAGUGUUGUACAAUGUUACGUUCAUGUCAUAUUGUUUAUAGAAUAAUUUGAAAUAUUGGAACUCGUGCCAUUAAUUUUGACCUAAUGUUCCCGAGCCUUUUGUAGAGUUUUGUCUGUACCUCAGUUUCAGGGUUUCCUUGAUAAGAUGCUAGUUGUUUGCUUGAGGAAUGUUUGUAUUGUUAUUUCGCUGUAAUAUUUUUCAAUCGGUUUGCCGUAAUGUUUUAAACAAUGAAGAUCUCUAAUUAGGGAUGUUUCUGUCCUUUUAUCUGAAUAAUGCGAUAUCAAGUUUCCUCUGAUCUCAUCCCAAUUAAGGGAUGUGCCAUACAUGUUUAAGACUUCGUUGGCUUGACCAUCUAUUUUAUCUCUUAUGGCCCUCAAGAGGAUUAGUCCAUGAGGAGUGUUAUCUGCUCCCCUAAUGUGAAGAAGUAUUUCUUCCACAUUACUAAUGAAUUCGUGGGGCAAUUUUGGAUUACCAUCAAAUUUGGGUAGGUCCUUGAUUGCAUCUGGAAUUCUAAGUGAGUUAAAAAUGUCGAUAUUAUUCAUGUUGUUACUAUUAGUUGUCGUUUGAGUCCCUGACUUGACUCAUACUUGGAACUUCUGUAUUUGAAAGCAUAUUAAAAUUUAAUGUAAUGUCCUCGGAUUUAACGGGUAGGCUUCUUGACUUAAAAAUCUUAAAACUUUUAGGAUAUGGAAAAUAUCUAGAUUUACUACUCAUCAAAAAUAAUAACUUGUUUUAUUUACAUAAGAUAAUUUGGUUCCGAUUGAUAGGAAUUUGGAAUCAAAUAAUGCCUACACAAAAAUAAUUUAAUUCGUUUUUUUAUAUAUGUAAUUUAUUUUUUAUUUAACUUUUCCACUUUUCCACUUCUUCCUUUUUAAUUUUAUUUAUUUUGACAAUUUAUGUUAUAUUUUCUUUUAAGUUUUAAAGAUUAUAUUUUUUAAUGAUCUUUCCAAGUGCUUAUAAAUAAGUGGUUGAAAAAUUUUUCUUUUGAAUUAAUAUAUUUUUAUUUAAAUUUUUUUUUUUUGUAAUUCAAUAACCACUCAUUUACUUACAGAGCCCCUAUGAGAAUUGUACGCAUGAGGGAUUUAGGUCCUUUUCCAACGGUUCUCGAGUAUUUCCACUUAUUUUCCUUGUAGCCUUAUACCAAUAUGCUCUUGAUAUUUGUUCUCCGUCCGAUAUUCCUUCGAGUUUUUGAACAGGCGGCCCCUUAUGUGGUCCAAGGAUUUAAUUAUUAACAAAGAUAUUAUUUGGUUAGCACUUUUAGUUAAGCUCCAACCCGAACCGUUGGCUUUCCGACUGCGCCAGUUAUGUUAUUACGUUCCUUCGUUAAUUGCACCAAAUAAAACACUUUAUCUUCUCGAAGGUUACACCAAUAAUGAUCUUUAUUUUUAAAUUAAUUUAACAUGAAGGCAAAUAAGUAAAAGAAAUUUGAUGAGUCAAGAAAAAUACAGUAAAAAUUAAAACACAAUAGGUGUUAAAAGUUACGUCCACUUCUAGUUGCCUUGCGUUCGUCUGUCGGCCCCACAUACAUUUCUUAACACUUUAAUUAGCAUUAUGCCUUACGCUUAAUAUUGAAAAUGCUCAAUUCUGUUUAUUUCGAGUCUGCUGUUUACAGUUCAAGGUGAAACACGCUCUUCGUAAUGAAUAGUCCUACGAAAAGUGUGCUUUUUUU
Molecule: long non-coding RNA, 2671 nt
Organism: Bactrocera dorsalis (oriental fruit fly)
Lineage: Eukaryota; Metazoa; Arthropoda; Insecta; Diptera; Tephritidae
Exons: 2
Source: RefSeq, a predicted model, not a curated record